Long non-coding RNA from Glycine soja, 202 nucleotides. RefSeq lists it as uncharacterized. NCBI's taxonomy places the organism in Eukaryota, Viridiplantae, Streptophyta, Magnoliopsida, Fabales, Fabaceae. The transcript is spliced from 3 exons. The record is from RefSeq and is a predicted model, not a curated record.
CCAGCUUAAGAAAGAGGGGAGAAGGAAUGAGUAUGAGAUGCGUAAGCUGUUAGCGCUGAAUCAGAGACAAAAGAUGGUAUUGCAAAGGAAGACAGAAGAAGCUUCCUUGGCCACAAAAAGGCUGAAAGAACUUUUGGAAUCUAGAAAAGCUUCCUCACGUGAAACUAAGGCUGUUGGAGGUGGGAAUGGCCCUGGAGUUCAG